GAUGAAGAACGCAGCAAAAUGCGAUAAGUAGUGUGAAUUGCAGAAUUCAGUGAAUCAUCGAAUCUUUGAACGCACAUUGCGCCCGCCAGUAUUCUGGCGGGCAUGCCUGUUCGAGCGUCAUUUCAACCAUCAAGCCCCCGGCUUGUGUUGGGGACCUGCGGCUGCCGCAGGCCCUGAAAAGCAGUGGCGGGCUCGCUGUCACACCGAGCGUAGUAGCAUACAUCUCGCUCUGGGCGUGCUGCGGGUUCCGGCCGUUAAACCACCUUCAUAACCCAAGGUUGACCUCGGAUCAGGUAGGAAGACCCGCUGAACUUAAGCAUAUCAAUAAGCGGAGGA
Molecule: unclassified non-coding RNA, 336 nt
Filed under: soil metagenome
Description: partial contains 5.8S ribosomal RNA, internal transcribed spacer 2, and large subunit ribosomal RNA
Rfam family: 5.8S ribosomal RNA (bases 1-120)
Source: RNAcentral